CAGGCCUAACACAUGCAAGUCGAACGGUGAAGCCCAGCUUGCUGGGUGGAUCAGUGGCGAACGGGUGAGUAACACGUGAGUAACCUGCCCCUGACUCUGGGAUAAGCCUUGGAAACGAGGUCUAAUACCGGAUACGAGACGCUCGGGCAUCCGAAGUGUCUGGAAAGAUUUAUCGGUCAGGGAUGGACUCGCGGCCUAUCAGCUUGUUGGUGGGGUAGUGGCCCACCAAGGCGACGACGGGUAGCCGGCCUGAGAGGGCGACCGGCCACACUGUGGACUGAGACACGGCCCAGACUCCUACGGGAGGCAGCAGUGGGGAAUAUUGCACAAUGGGCGCAAGCCUGAUGCAGCGACGCCGCGUGAGGGAUGAAGGCCUUCGGGUUGUAAACCUCUUUCAGCAGGGAAGAAGCGCAAGUGACGGUACCUGCAGAAGAAGCGCCGGCUAACUACGUGCCAGCAGCCGCGGUAAUACGUAGGGCGCAAGCGUUGUCCGGAAUUAUUGGGCGUAAAGAGCUCGUAGGCGGUUUGUCGCGUCUGCUGUGAAAACUCGAGGCUCAACCUCGGGCUUGCAGUGGGUACGGGCAGACUAGAGUGCGGUAGGGGAGACUGGAAUUCCUGGUGUAGCGGUGGAAUGCGCAGAUAUCAGGAGGAACACCGAUGGCGAAGGCAGGUCUCUGGGCCGCAACUGACGCUGAGGAGCGAAAGCAUGGGGAGCGAACAGGAUUAGAUACCCUGGUAGUCCAUGCCGUAAACGUUGGGCACUAGGUGUGGGGCUCAUUCCACGAGUUCCGUGCCGCAGCAAACGCAUUAAGUGCCCCGCCUGGGGAGUACGGCCGCAAGGCUAAAACUCAAAGAAAUUGACGGGGGCCCGCACAAGCGGCGGAGCAUGCGGAUUAAUUCGAUGCAACGCGAAGAACCUUACCAAGGCUUGACAUACACCGGAAACUUCCAGAGAUGGUUGCCCCGCAAGGUCGGUGUACAGGUGGUGCAUGGUUGUCGUCAGCUCGUGUCGUGAGAUGUUGGGUUAAGUCCCGCAACGAGCGCAACCCUCGUCCUAUGUUGCCAGCGGGUCAUGCCGGGGACUCAUAGGAGACUGCCGGGGUCAACUCGGAGGAAGGUGGGGAUGACGUCAAAUCAUCAUGCCCCUUAUGUCUUGGGCUUCACGCAUGCUACAAUGGCCGGUACAAAGGGCUGCGAUACCGCGAGGUGGAGCGAAUCCCAARAAGCCGGUCUCAGUUCGGAUUGGGGUCUGCAACUCGACCCCAUGAAGUCGGAGUCGCUAGUAAUCGCAGAUCAGCAACGCUGCGGUGAAUACGUUCCCGGGCCUUGUACACACCGCCC
RNAcentral lists this ribosomal RNA (1341 nucleotides) under Cellulomonas sp. ER1. RNAcentral's name for it is "bacterial SSU rRNA". It matches the Rfam family "Bacterial small subunit ribosomal RNA", at positions 43 to 1395 of the family's 1533-position model. Lineage: Bacteria; Bacillati; Actinomycetota; Actinomycetes; Micrococcales; Cellulomonadaceae. The record is from RNAcentral.